GAUGAACGCUAGCGGCAGGCUUAAUACAUGCAAGUCGAACGGUAAGAGAUGUAGCAAUACAUUUCCUAGAGUGACGUACGGGUGCGUAACACGUAUGCAACCUACCUGUAACAGGAGUAUAGCUCGGGGAAACUCGAAUUAACCCUCAUAAGAUCGUGAAGUGGCAUCACUUAGCGCUUAAAACUGAGGUGGUUACAGAUGGGCAUGCGUCUGAUUA
This 217-nucleotide ribosomal RNA is filed under the name uncultured bacterium. Its description in RNAcentral is "partial 16S ribosomal RNA". It matches the Rfam family "Bacterial small subunit ribosomal RNA", at positions 28 to 243 of the family's 1533-position model. The record is from RNAcentral.